UACAGAGGUCCCAAGCGUUGUUCGGAUUCAUUGGGCGUAAAGGGUGUGUAGGUGGCGCCGUAAGUCAGGUGUGAAAUCUCGGGGCUUAACUCCGAAACUGCAUUUGAUACUGCGGUGCUUGAGGACUGGAGAGGAGACUGGAAUUUAUGGUGUAGCAGUGAAAUGCGUAGAUAUCAUAAGGAAGACCAGUGGCGAAGGCGGGUCUCUGGACAGUUCCUGACGCUGAGGCACGAAGGCCAGGGGAGCAAACGGG
RNAcentral lists this ribosomal RNA (253 nucleotides) under uncultured bacterium. RNAcentral's name for it is "partial 16S ribosomal RNA". It matches the Rfam family "Bacterial small subunit ribosomal RNA", at positions 524 to 776 of the family's 1533-position model. The record is from RNAcentral.